GCUGAAUUGUAAGAUAUAUAGAUCAUAAUCCUACAUUUCUUGUUUUUGUUUUUUUGUUGUGCCAUCCAGUGAGAACUCCGGUGAGAAGACCCACUGUGGAGAGCAAUAUGGUGAAAAACAGAGACAAGAAACAUCAGUUAAUUUAUCAGGCUACAGUGCCAAUAAGUGGAUACUCAAGCAAAGCAGACCAGACUGCGCAGGAUGAAGGUAUUUUAUUGUAGAUGCAGUGUACACAAUUAUACUUUUAUAUAAUAUUAUACAUAGAAUAUAAUGCAGUUGUAUAAGAAUAUAAACAAGAAUAUUAUUCAUUAAAUAAUUUAGAGUAUUUUAAUCUUUUAUAUGAAUUAACCCCUUAUUUCCCUGUGCUGUGUGCAGAGGUGUUGGACAGUGGUGUGCAGGUGGCGGUGGACGUGUCUCAGCUGCAGAGGGCUGGUGUGGUGCAUCGUGGGCAGGUUUUUGGACUCAGUGCUCUCUCUCUGGAGGAGCAGAGACUGCUGCAGUCUCUGGACAGACUCAACCACCGCCUGCAGUAUGUUCAGGACAUGUCUGCAGGAAAUACCGCACUGAAAGGAGUCUUCACGUUGGAUUCUGCAAAUAACCAGUCUCCCCAGACCGGUGAGGUUUUGGGUGGCACUCAGCGCAGGUACCACAACGGCUCAGCUGCUGAAAACCGCACCCGUUCACACAGACGCUACUGACUCCAGCUCCCAGAAUGCACUUCUCUCCAGCCUCACCGCCUUCCAGCCUAUCCCGGACUGCACUUUUAAGGACAACUUCUGCCCCACAUUUUUAUUAUAUGGUGGAUUAUCACAGACAAUGAUUUUCAUGUUUUAAAAAAAUCUGAGAACCUGCUGGUUCUGCACGUUUUGGCUCAACUGGUUAUCUGUUAUAGAAAAAAAAAAUGCAGAUUAAGCAUAACGUCCUUGUUUCUACACCCAUUAUCUAUCUUAACAUAUAGCAGCACUUUGUAGUUCUAUAAUUGUCCUGAGUAUUGAAGAACAGGAUGAAAGGAGAAUAAUAAUAAAGUAUAGAUUAUACAGAGAAACA
Molecule: long non-coding RNA, 1047 nt
Filed under: Astyanax mexicanus (Mexican tetra)
Lineage: Eukaryota; Metazoa; Chordata; Actinopteri; Characiformes; Acestrorhamphidae
Description: lncRNA (ENSAMXG00005007011.1)
Source: RNAcentral